AUAAAAGAGUCCAGGCAAAAAAAUGGGCAUCCCGGCGAACCAAAAAACAGAAAGAAAAGGUUCGGGCAAAAAUUAGGGAUAAAAAAAUAAAAAAAUUUGUACACCCGGUAAGUCGAAAACCCGCAAGGGCGACUUAGGCAAAAAUGGGUAUCCCGGUGGAUUGAAAACCCGAAAGGGCGAUCCAGGCAAAAGUUAGGGAUUAAAGCGAAGACUACAGUCUGAGUUGCCUGUACUUCAUCAAGCUUUGUCGUCUGCCAUCUCGAAAGAUGUGAUCCGUCCAGUCAUUCUUCUCGG
Molecule: long non-coding RNA, 294 nt
Filed under: Lathyrus oleraceus (garden pea)
Lineage: Eukaryota; Viridiplantae; Streptophyta; Magnoliopsida; Fabales; Fabaceae
Description: Pisum sativum (pea) long non-coding RNA (PSAT_LNC027222)
Source: RNAcentral